UCAAGUGACUAAGUGUAUGUGGUGGAUGCCUUGGCGAUCACAGGCGAUGAAGGACGUAGUAGCUUGCGAUAAGCUGCGGGGAGCCGGCAAACGGGCUUUGAUCCGCAGAUUUCCGAAUGGGGGAACCCCGCGCGUAAGCGUGAUCAUCAGUUGAAUACAUAGGCUGAUGAGGCGAACGGAGUGAACUGAAACAUCUAAGUAACUCCAGGAAAAGAAAUCAACCGAGAUUGCGAAAGUAGCGGCGAGCGAAAUUGCACCAGCCUAGCUUUUGAUAGCUUCGAAGACAGUGGAACGCUCUGGGAAGUGCGGCCAUAGAGGGUGACAGCCCCUUACACGAAGUCGACGGAGUGGUACUAAGGAAGCGAUAAGUAGGGCGGGACACGUGACAUCCUGUCUGAAGAUGGGGGGACCAUCCUCCAAGGCUAAAUACUCGUGAUCGACCGAUAGUGAACCAGUACUGUGAAGGAAAGGUGAAAAGAACCCCGGGAGGGGAGUGAAAUAGAACCUGAAACCGCAUACAUACAAACAGUAGGAGCUCCUUUUGUGGAGUGACUGCGUACCUUUUGCAUAAUGGGUCAGCGACUUACGUUUUGCGGCGAGCUUAACCGAGUAGGGGAGGCGUAGCGAAAGCGAGUUCGAAUAGAGCGAUUUAGUCGCAAGGCGUAGACCCGAAACCAGAUGAGCUAUCCAUGGCCAGGUUGAAGGUGUGGUAACACACACUGGAGGACCGAACCGACUAGUGUUGCAAAAUUAGCGGAUGAGCUGUGGAUAGGGGUGAAAGGCUUAACAAAUCUGGAGAUAGCUGGUUCUCCCCGAAAACUAUUGAGGUAGUGCCUCGUGUAUGGCUCCAGGGGGUAGAGCACUGUUAUGGCUAGGGGGACAUGGCGUCUUACCAAACCAUGGCAAACUCCGAAUACUUGGAAGUCGCAGCACGGGAGACAGAGCACCGGGUGCUAACGUCCGGACUCAAGAGGGAAACAACCCAGACCGCCGUUUAAGGUCCCUAAUAUUGGCUAAGUGGAAAACGAAGUGUGAAGGCUAAGACAGUCAGGAAGUUGGCUUAGAAGCAGCCAUCCUUCAAAGAAAGCGUAAUAGCUCACUGAUCGAGUCCUCAUGCGCGGAAGAUGUAACGGGGCUAAGUCAAUAACCGAAAGCGCGGAUUUGCAGCAAUGCAAGUGGUAGGGGAGCGUUCCGUAAGUCGAAGAAGGUGGCUUGUAAAGGCUGCUGGAGAUAUCGGAAGUGCGAAUGCUGACAUGAGUAACGUUAAAGCGGGUGAAAAGCCCGCUCGCCGUAAGCCCAAGGUUUCCUGCUCUACGUUCAUCGGAGCAGGGUGAGUCGGCCCCUAAGGCCAGGCUGAGAAGCGUAGUCGAUGGGAAUCAGAUUAAUAUUUCUGAACCGUGUUCGAGUGCGAUGGGGGGACGGAGUGCAGAAGAUCAUCCGGGUGUUGGAUAUCCCGGUUUGUGAGGGGAGAAGGCCGGCAGGCAAAUCCGCCGGCGAAUCUUCAAGCCAAAGCAUCGGGCCAUCGAGAGAUGGUGAAGUGAUCGGAAGGACUUCCAGGAAAAGCCUCUAAGCUCCAGCUCGAACAUGACCGUACCGCAAACCGACACUGGUGGGCGAGUUGAAUAUACUCAGGCGCUUGAGAGAACUCGGGAGAAGGAACUCGGCAAAUUGACACCGUAACUUCGGGAAAAGGUGUGCCUUUGUAGCGUGAAGAGAGAAACACUCGGAGCGUGAAGAGGUCUCAGUAAAUAGGUGGCUGCAACUGUUUAUUAAAAACACAGCACUCUGCAAAGACGAAAGUCGACGUAUAGGGUGUGAUGCCUGCCCGGUGCUGGAAGAUUAAGUGAUGGGGUGCAAGCUCCUGAUCGAAGUCCCAGUAAACGGCGGCCGUAACUAUAACGGUCCUAAGGUAGCGAAAUUCCUUGUC
RNAcentral lists this ribosomal RNA (1927 nucleotides) under human gut metagenome. Its description in RNAcentral is "bacterial LSU rRNA". It matches the Rfam family "Bacterial large subunit ribosomal RNA", at positions 3 to 1973 of the family's 2925-position model. The record is from RNAcentral.